RNAcentral lists this transfer RNA (86 nucleotides) under Pseudomonadota bacterium. RNAcentral describes it as "tRNA-Leu". It matches the Rfam family "tRNA". From Rfam's summary of the family: Transfer RNA (tRNA) molecules are approximately 80 nucleotides in length. Their secondary structure includes four short double-helical elements and three loops (D, anti-codon, and T loops). Further hydrogen bonds mediate the characteristic L-shaped molecular structure. tRNAs have two regions of fundamental functional importance: the anti-codon, which is responsible for specific mRNA codon recognition, and the 3' end, to which the tRNAs corresponding amino acid is attached (by aminoacyl-tRNA synthetases). tRNAs cope with the degeneracy of the genetic code in two manners: having more than one tRNA (with a specific anti-codon) for a particular amino acid; and 'wobble' base-pairing, i.e. permitting non-standard base-pairing at the 3rd anti-codon position. Lineage: Bacteria; Pseudomonadati; Pseudomonadota. RNAcentral also lists the same sequence under 1 other name. The record is from RNAcentral.
GCCUGGGUGGCGGAAUUUGGCAGACGCGGCAGACUCAAAAUCUGCUGGCUUUUUAAGCCUUGUGGGUUCGACUCCCACCCCAGGCA